Non-coding RNA from Pelobates cultripes (western spadefoot toad), 258 nucleotides. Lineage: Eukaryota; Metazoa; Chordata; Amphibia; Anura; Pelobatidae. The record is from the annotation of a GenBank genome assembly.
CCUAUUUGUUUUUAAGCAGCUCCUGUCCCCGCCCCCCUCCCAUAGCCCCUGUGCAUCUCUACACAACACUUGUGCCCCUACCACUGCUCCUGCCCCUCUCUACUGCUCCUUUCCCCCUCCAUCCCUGUGCCCACCUCUACAACCACUGCUCUUUUCUACAGCAGCUGUGCCUCCCUCUACGGCCCCUGUGACACCCCCACAGCUCCUGUCCCCCCUCAUCACAGCUCCUGACCCCUCUUGGCCCCUGUUCCCCUUUCU